GCCCGCCGCGCCCCGCGCCCGUCCCGCCGCCCCCGCCCGCCUACGGGAGGCAGCAGUGGGGAAUUUUCCGCAAUGGGCGAAAGCCUGACGGAGCAAUACCGCGUGAGGGAUGACGGCCUAUGGGUUGUAAACCUCUUUUUUCAGGGAGGAACAAAAUGACGUGUACCUGAAGAAUAAGCAUCGGCUAACUCCGUGCCAGCAGCCGCGGUAAGACGGAGGAUGCAAGUGUUAUCCGGAAUCACUGGGCGUAAAGCGUCUGUAGGUGGUCAAAUAAGUCAACUGUUAAAUCUUGAGGCCCAACCUCAAAAUCGCAGUCGAAACUAUUAGACUAGAGUAUAGUAGGGGUAAAGGGAAUUUCCAGUGGAGCGGUGAAAUGCGUAGAGAUUGGAAAGAACACCGAUGGCGAAGGCACUUUACUGGGCUAUUACUAACACUCAGAGACGAAAGCUAGGGUAGCAAAUGGGAUUAGAUACCCCAGUAGUCCUAGCUGUAAACAAUGGAUACUAGAUGUUGGACAGAUCGACCUGUGCAGUAUCA
RNAcentral lists this ribosomal RNA (537 nucleotides) under uncultured phototrophic eukaryote. RNAcentral describes it as "bacterial SSU rRNA". It matches the Rfam family "Bacterial small subunit ribosomal RNA", at positions 306 to 848 of the family's 1533-position model. The record is from RNAcentral.